Molecule: ribosomal RNA, 542 nt
Filed under: uncultured bacterium
Lineage: Bacteria
Description: bacterial SSU rRNA
Rfam family: Bacterial small subunit ribosomal RNA
Source: RNAcentral
GAGUUUGAUCCUGGCUCAGAAUGAACGCUGGCGGCGUGCCUAACACAUGCAAGUCGAGCGCGAAAGUGACUUCGGUCGCGAGUAGAGCGGCGAACGGGUGAGUAACACGUGGACAACCUGCCCAGUAGCGGGGGACAACUCGGGGAAACUUGAGCUAAUACCGCAUACGCUCCUUCGGCCACGGCCGAUUGAGGAAAGAUCGCCUAUCCUUGGAAGCGGUCGCUAUUGGAGGGGUCCGCGGCUGAUUAGCUAGUUGGUGAGGUAACGGCUCACCAAGGCGACGAUCAGUAGCCGGCCUGAGAGGGCGAUCGGCCACACUGGAACUGAGACACGGUCCAGACUCCUACGGGAGGCAGCAGUGGGGAAUAUUGGACAAUGGGGGCAACCCUGAUCCAGCAACGCCGCGUGGAGGAUGAAGGCCUUCGGGUUGUAAACUCCUGUCAGGUGGAGCGAAAAGCGUCGGUGAAUAGCCGGCGUCUAUGACGGUACCACCAGAGGAAGCCCCGGCUAACUCCGUGCCAGCAGCCGCGGUAAUACGGAGG